RNA transcript from Oncorhynchus tshawytscha (Chinook salmon), 1742 nucleotides. It is a transcript of the gene named voltage-dependent T-type calcium channel subunit alpha-1H-like, with no coding region annotated. The transcript has 2 exons. NCBI's taxonomy places the organism in Eukaryota, Metazoa, Chordata, Actinopteri, Salmoniformes, Salmonidae. The record is from RefSeq and is a predicted model, not a curated record.
UGUCGCUGAAUAUUUACCAGAAGUUCAACUUUACCCAAAAUGUUCACGUUCCCUAGCCCAUGCUGGCAUAGCCCACUGGUUCCCCGCCCACUUCGCUCCCUCAGAUGAAAAUGAAUGUGGCUCCGUUGUCUCAUCGCCCAAUCAUUUAAUGUGGAAAUGUAGGUUUAGGCCUACAGUAUCUAUCUAACAGGUCACACCUGCUUUUGGGCAGAGUGUAACCCUCAUAAAGCCUCAUAGAAUGGAAUUCAUGCAGGACAAUGUGGGAACUGGAGGUCCACAUCGACAAUAAAGAGAGAAGUAGUAAGAAGAUGGCGAGGUUUCUCAGGGUCAGUGGCUAGGCUCUUUGGGAGGGUAAAGUGUGUGUGUGUGUGUGUGUGUGUGUGUGUGUGUGUGUGUGUGUGUGUGUGUGUGUGUGUGUGUGUGUGUGUGUGUGUGUGUGUGUGUGUGUGUGUGUGUGGUCGUGCGUGUGUCAUAGGAAGAAACAUUGUGGAUGGAGUUGAGGGGGUGCCAACAGCAGGUUGUUUUAGCAGGACCUCCAGAGGCCUAGGGGAUGAAUCACUGUUAUCUAUGCUCAGGGAGAGAGAGCACCUGUGGGCACCGCUCCACUCACACCACUUCCUGGUCCCGGAUCAUGGCUGGCUAGAAUCAGUCUGCCUGGAGAUGUUGCCUACCUUAACAACAGGCCUAUGGUCAUACACUCUGGGGAGACACAGAGGUUGUGUCCCAAAUGGCACCCUAUUCCCUAUAGUCCACACAUUUCAGGGUUAAAAGUAGUGCACUAUAUAGGAAAUAGGGUACAAUUUGGGACUCAGUCACAGUCCCACAGGGAGGUUAGCCAAAGUUAAAGCGUAUACACUCUAAGUUUAUACACCCCACCUGGGCUUCCAGCCAAGGAAGUGUCCAGGGGAAUUCAGACUGUUUAGCCAAAAGGUUUCAGAUUAUUAUGUGUUAGCAGUUACUUGUCCUUCCUUUACCUCCAUGUACUGCAGAUCUAACAUAUUGAAUCUGACCCAAAUUAUUGGAUUGUUGUGAGGAAGCAUGGGAUUUCCGUUAUCCUCUAAGAGACAGGUGAAGACGAAGAUAAAUGGUUCUUCAUGAGAACAUAGAUUUCACACGUUUUCCUUUUGGCCCUUUAUUUUCCAAGCCUGGUCCCAGAUCUAUUUUUUCUAUCAAGCAUAUCCUGUAAACUCCGGAAAAACAUGAUGCUUGGCACGAGAAGGAGUGGCACGAUGAUCCAAACAGACUGGUACCCAAUCUGAAGUUCAAAUGUAAUUCAUAAACAGUUGUCAUGAGUUCCACUGAAGGUGGUUCCUCUCCCUGUUCGGGUGGUGCUCGGCGCACGGCGUCGCCGGCCUACUAGCCAUCACCGAUCCUUUUUUCCUUUUCCGUUUGUUUUGUCUUUGGUUCUUUCACACCUGGUUUCAUUUGCUUUAAUUUCUGUGUGUAUAAUUACCCCUGUUGCCUGCUAAGGUUUGUGCGACAUUAUUCGUGUCAUGUUUCUUGUCGAGGUUGUGCCUUGUUUAUUUUCACGUUUUAUACCGAGUGUGUAUCAGUUUAAGGAGCGUUGUUUUCCUCCUUCCGUGAGUAAUUGGUUUUUAUUUUUUGUCGAGAGCGUUUAUUUUGGUAUUUGUACCUGACCUACAUGUUUGUGGACUUGCCUAUUAAAAAGAAAUGCUACUCGGAACAUCUCUGCUUUCCUGCGCUUGACUCCUUCACCUACCUCUAAACACAGUCUCGUAACA